Nilaparvata lugens (brown planthopper) is the source of this 283-nucleotide long non-coding RNA. RefSeq lists it as uncharacterized. NCBI's taxonomy places the organism in Eukaryota, Metazoa, Arthropoda, Insecta, Hemiptera, Delphacidae. The record is from RefSeq and is a predicted model, not a curated record. The transcript is spliced from 3 exons.
UUAGUACAGUUGCUUUUGAGGAAAUUAUCUUAUAGCAGGUUGGCAUUAUUUACAAAAUUCAAUUACAAAAGCAAACAAAUCAUUACAGAAAAUAUAGAUCACAUACUAAUCUAGAGAGUUCAUGACAAUAAUGUCUUAAAUGAAAAAUUUCAUGGAUAUCACACUCAUCACAGUACAAUCAAAAGAAAAAAAACAUAGUUUCUCGAAUCAUUGUUUGCACUUUAGACAGUCAAAUCCACAUCUUACUCGUUCAAACAGAAUGAGCGAAUUUUCAAGCACUGCU